CAGUCGAGGCGGUCGGCGAAGGAGAAGAGCUGGUGGAACGGGAGGCUCUGCUCCUGGCGCUUCUUCUCCGGCUCGACGGAGCUCUUGCCGUCGCCGGCGUCGGCCGCCAUUGUUGCAGGACUGAGGUCGGAUCCGGUCACCGGCGAGGACGGAUCGGAUCUAGGGUUGAGGUUAUUUUAUAGUUUGGAGUCCAAGGGGAGGCUGUGG
This 207-nucleotide unclassified non-coding RNA is filed under the name Hevea brasiliensis (rubber tree). The record is from RNAcentral. Lineage: Eukaryota; Viridiplantae; Streptophyta; Magnoliopsida; Malpighiales; Euphorbiaceae.